GGUUCACUCUACAAAUAACUUUCCUCUAUCUUUAAACUUACACUUUCUGUAGGACUUUCUUUCUUAGGAAUUGCAUAUAUCCCCAUGCUUUAGGCAUCAGUAAAUCCUGAAAUUGCAUCUCUAGAUCUACAUUUCAGCCUCUUUAACAAUUUGCCUUGGAUAUCCUACAAGGAACCAAAACUUGGCAGAGUUCAUUUCCUUCCCGCAAUCCACUCAUUUCCUUUCCUCAAUAUUUCCCCAAACAUGCUAUUCCUCUUGACUUUUUCAUUUCUGUAAAUAGGUCUGGUGUAUUAAACUUGGAGCUAUUAUCCUUCUCUCACUUCUUUAUAUUUAAUCAAUGCAAAUUCUAUGUCUACAAUUCAUCAAUAUUUUAUUCCUGCAUUUCCAUUUUUAGUCCAUUUCUUUUACUGCAGAGACUCCUAAUUCUUAAAUUCUUUGAAAAACCUUUCCAAAUAUAAUUCUCAAGGUCAUUUCUCUUGCCUUCUUAAUUCACCUAUAAUAUCUCACUACUGAUUAUUCCCCCUGUUAUUCCAAAGUUUCUUUGGGGGGUCCACUUCAAAUGCCAUUAACUCCAUUAUGAUUUUUUCUAGUAUCAUAGCGAUGUAUAGUUUUUUGGGCAUGUGAAUUUCCUUGUAAAUUUUACUCCUCAAAUAUUGUCACCUGAGGUUAAUCCUUUUUGAAAUGUAAUCAGUUUUGUAUUUGUUCUUCCAUUUUCUCCCACCAGGCACAAAAUUGAGUGUCGUCUUAUGCUGAAGAUGUGAUGAACAAAAAAAGGAAAGAAGAAAAGAAGGGAACACAGAUAGCAAGCAGCAAGUGAAUGGAAUACUGCACAUCUACCUAGCCAGCAAGGGGCGCUCUCAGGAGCCUAUACCAGGACCCCUGAGUCCCAGCCUGCAGUGUCACAUACUGCCCCACUCCGCUGCCAACGUUACUGCUGCAGUAAUCCUUUACCCUCUUCCUCCUGUCUCUGUUAUCCACUCACCUUACUUCUCUUCAUUCAAGUUCAUAAGCCUGCAUUUUGGGACCCUGGCAGUAAGCACCUGCAAGCACUAAUGAAGGCAACAAUUCAUAACCAAGAUUGUCCUUCAGAAUCGUCUAAAGGAUUUCAGUACACACGUGGACCAGAAGUCCAAGCCAGAGCUCCCAGAGAAGAAUUUUCAAGGUAUGACGUGCAGGACGUUUUGUUUUAAUUCAUGAUAAGGAAAUUUCAUUUUAAAACAAAUAAUCUGGGCAGUAUAUGAUCCACUGGAAAUCUGAAAAAAUAAAGAUCUAUGAUAUCAUUUAUAUGGGGAUCUA
Molecule: long non-coding RNA, 1296 nt
Filed under: Sus scrofa (pig)
Lineage: Eukaryota; Metazoa; Chordata; Mammalia; Artiodactyla; Suidae
Description: lncRNA (ENSSSCG00015061800.1)
Source: RNAcentral